GGGAGAACUCACUGUGUGAAGCUGGUGCACCGUUUGUACCCGGAAGUUGACCCAGCACUAAACCCUGACCAUGUUGAGCACAUGCUUUACAAGUGCCCUGAUUCAAUCCCAGACCCUAAAGCUGUCCAAUAUGUGAGAAAUGACAGAGGCACACCCAUGGUUCUAGACAACAACUACUACAGAAACAUAUUGGACAACAAGGGCUUGUUGAUAGUGGAUCACCAGCUAGCCAAUGACAAGAGAACUAAGCCUUAUGUGAAGAAAAUGGCCAAGAGUCAGGAUUACUUCUUUAAGGAGUUUUCUAGGGCUAUCACCAUUCUUUCUGAGAACAACCC
This 335-nucleotide long non-coding RNA is filed under the name Populus tremula. RNAcentral describes it as "long non-coding RNA (PTRE_LNC002094)". The record is from RNAcentral. Lineage: Eukaryota; Viridiplantae; Streptophyta; Magnoliopsida; Malpighiales; Salicaceae.